Long non-coding RNA from Vicia villosa (hairy vetch), 1087 nucleotides. RefSeq lists it as uncharacterized. The transcript has 3 exons. The record is from RefSeq and is a predicted model, not a curated record. NCBI's taxonomy places the organism in Eukaryota, Viridiplantae, Streptophyta, Magnoliopsida, Fabales, Fabaceae.
CUUCGCUUCACUCUCUCUCAACGGUCUUGGCGAACUCAACGACGGCGGCGGCCAGGGCACUUCUCCGGUGGUUUUAAUCGACUCCUGUAAACCAACGAAUCAGCUCAUCGGACCGGACACUCUCGUCUCUCUCCUCACGCAUCGGACGCGGCGGCGCAAAUGGAGAGCUCUAACUUCUCCGAUGCAGCAAAUCUCCGGCCACUAUCGCCUUCGAAUCAAGUCCCUCACCCUCUCGCUAAGUUCUCCCGACUCGUAUCUUGCAGUGACGGCAAGAGUUCAACUUUCUCCUCCGACGAGAAUCUCGCCGUACCGCGAUGAACAAUCUUGCUCGUGCUUCUCCUUCAGCCUUCUGCGUACCGAAGCUUGUGAUGCGUUGUUGUUGUGAUGCAGAUUGUUUAACAAAUUGGAUGUUGAUCACUUUCUGAAGCAGGUUCAAGAAUCGUUUGCGAUUGUGGCGAUGCCGUUUCGUGAAGCAAGUGAAGAUUGACGAUGGAGUUGCUUCGUGACUGCUGCAACUAUGAAUCGCGAUGGUCGAAGAUGCAGAUAAGGAGAAGAUGAUGAACGAGUUGCAGAAGAGAAGGAAAAAAUGAAGAUUUUGGUGAAGCUUCAAUUAUGGAGGAAGUGAAGAUGGUUUUGAAGAUGGUGAAUGAAGUGGCUCUGAAUUGAAGAUGGUGAAAAAUGGUUGAGAGGGAAGCGAUGAAGAAGAUUGAAGAUGGAAAAUGGAGAGAUGAAUGGCGUCGAAGAUGAUGAAAUGAUGGAGAAGGUUAGAGAAAGAGAUGAAGAAUGGGAGAAGAGCUUCUGAAUUGGAGGGAAGUCUGAUUUAUAGGAGUUGAAGGAGGUUGGAGAGUUGGUUGUGGAUGCAUCUCAGCCUUUGAUUGAAGAAGUUUGUUAUACAAUAGAUGGAGAAGAUUGAACCUGGUAGAGAGGUUAUUAACAACUGAAGAGAGUGGCUGUGGGUUUGCAAACUAUCUUGAACUGGUUUAUUGAAACGGGUUGGAACCGGCAGAUUUACGGUUACGAAGCGAAGUUGAACUUGACUUGAGGAGCAAGAGUGAUGGGAGGUGGUGAAGCUGGAGACUUGGAAACA